UGUCUUGUGGGAUGCUGUCUUGUGUA
RNAcentral lists this non-coding RNA (26 nucleotides) under Mus musculus (house mouse). The record is from RNAcentral. Lineage: Eukaryota; Metazoa; Chordata; Mammalia; Rodentia; Muridae.